This 424-nucleotide unclassified non-coding RNA is filed under the name Hevea brasiliensis (rubber tree). The record is from RNAcentral. Lineage: Eukaryota; Viridiplantae; Streptophyta; Magnoliopsida; Malpighiales; Euphorbiaceae.
CGAUGACACGCCACGCGGUUCCCGUUCAAGGGAACCGUAAAAAUCGGUCAGGCUGUUUCCUUGAUCCAGUUCGCCAGAAGAUGAUGCGCGAUGGCGACGGGAUGAGGGCCCGUCAGGCCCUCNNNNNNNNNNNNNUUGGCGAGCAUCGCCACGGCUUCAUCACGGCUGAACCAGCGCGCAUCCUCGAGCUCGGUCUUGUCGACGACGAUGUCGGUGGUGGUGGCGCGGGCGGUGCAGCCGAUCAUCAGCGAUGACGGAUAGGGCCACGGCUGCGUCAUGUAAUAGCGCACGUCGGUGCAGUGGAUGCCGGCCUCUUCGAGAAUCUCGCGCUGCACGGCGUGCUCGAUGGUCUCCGCUGCUUCGACGAAACCGGCAAGGCACGACCACAUGGUCGGCGGAAAUUGCGAUUGGCGUCCCAUCAGGC